UCGAGGAUCAUUUGCAAUGGGCGAAAGCCUGACAAUGCGACAGGCGCGUGGAGGAUGAACGCCUUCGGGUUGUAAACUCCUGUCAUAAGGGAACAGGCGAGGGGACCCAAUACGUCCCCGAGUUGAGUGUUCUUUAGGAGGAAGCGACGGCUAACUCUGUGCCAGCAGCCGCGGUAAUACAGAGGUCGCAAGCGUGGUUCGCGAUUUACUGGGCGUAAAGGGCGCGUAGGCGGCAUUGCGUGUCAGAUGUGAAAUCUCCGGGCUCAACCCGGAAAGCGCGUCUGAAACUACAAUGCUCGAGUUUUGGAGAGGGAAUCGGAAUAUAGGGUGUAGCGGUGAAAUGCGUUGAUAUCCUAUAGAACACCGGAGGCGAAGGCGGAUUCCUUGAACAGCACUGACGCUGAGGCGCGAAAGUCGGGGGAGCAAACAGGAUUAGAUACCCUGGUAGUCCCGACCUUAAACGGUGCACACUCGGGGUGGGGCCAUUUCACCGGUCCCGUCCCUUAGCUAACGCGUUAAGUGUGCCGCCUGGGGAGUACGGCCGCAAGGCUAAAACUCAAAGAAAUUGACGGGGGCCCGCACAAGCAGAGGAGCAUGUGGCUUAAUUCGAUGCAACGCGAAGAACCUUACCUGGAUUUGACAUCGUCGGCAAUGCCCUGUGAAAGCAGGGCGGAGGUUACCCGAUAGACAGGUGCUGCAUGGCUGUCGUCAGUUCGUGCCGUGAGGUGUUUGGUUAAGUCCACCAACGAACGCAACCCCUUUGACGUGUUGCCAGCGGGUAAAGCCGGGAACUCGCGUCACACUGCCUGUUUACGCAGGAGGAAGGUGGGGAUGACGUCAAGUCAGUAUGGCCCUUACAUCCAGGGCUGCACACGUGCUACAAUGGCGCAUACAGAGCGACGCAAGACCGCAAGGUGGAGCCAAUCGCAGAGAGUGCGCCUCAGUUCAGAUCGGGGUCUGCAACCCGACCCCGUGAAGUCGGAUUUGCUAGUAACGGCGUAUCAGCUACGACGCCGUGAAUGCGUUCCCGGGCCUUGCACUCACCGCCCGUCA
This 1053-nucleotide ribosomal RNA is filed under the name uncultured bacterium. RNAcentral's name for it is "bacterial SSU rRNA". It matches the Rfam family "Bacterial small subunit ribosomal RNA", at positions 355 to 1399 of the family's 1533-position model. The record is from RNAcentral.